Artibeus jamaicensis (Jamaican fruit-eating bat) is the source of this 107-nucleotide small nuclear RNA. The record is from RefSeq and is a predicted model, not a curated record. NCBI's taxonomy places the organism in Eukaryota, Metazoa, Chordata, Mammalia, Chiroptera, Phyllostomidae.
ACACUCAGUUUGGCAGCAUAUGUGCUAAAAUUGGAAUCAUACAGAGAAGAUUAGCAUAGCAGUUGCACAAGGAUGGCACACAUAUUUGGGAAGGAUUUUAUAUUUUG